Molecule: long non-coding RNA, 1093 nt
Organism: Cyprinus carpio carpio
Lineage: Eukaryota; Metazoa; Chordata; Actinopteri; Cypriniformes; Cyprinidae
Source: Ensembl
AUGAAGAUAAAACCUCAUCUACAUCUUGGAUGGCCUGAGGAGCAGCCAGGAAUCACCAUCACAAUGACCUUUCUCCACAACGGAGGCAUAAAGCAUAGUCCGGACCAAACACAUCAAGCAGGAAUGAGUUGUAGUAGCAGUGCACAUGUGUUAAAUGUGUGUGUGUCAGCUGGACUGGUCCCAGCUGCACCGGGUCAUGGCACCAACUCGUAUAAGACUCAAACUCCUCCAGGCGAUUUGUCCCAGCCUGUUGCCAUAUGCAUCCUCCUCAUUCCCUGGGGUCCGUCCCACAUGGUGCCGUCGUGGCAUGCGGACGCAGAGGUUGUAGAGGACAUGCUGGCUUCUCUGGUCACGCUGAUAUUUGUGUCGCCUGCUGACAGUUGGCCUCACACACACACGCACAGUGUCAUUGUCUCGGGCCGGAGAUGCAGACUGACACUGCUUCACUACGCAUCUGGCAUCAAGAAAAGGCAGCAUGCAGAGGAAUUUCCAUAAGAGUUGUCCAGGACAGGCAUUCGUCCAACACUGAGCUGUUGUCUCAUCUGUAAGUGACAAAAUUCAGAUGCUGCGACAUGUUGUUUAUGUGCUGAGCUGCAUGGCAGAGGCAGCAGGGCUUGCCACAAACUUUUGAUUUAUUAAACAACUCGCCUUGCCACGCCUGGAAAUGUACUUGACAUUACUAAAAAAAAAAACCUGGGUACUGUCGUCUGGCUUGGCUUAUCCAACGAGCGAAAAAUUACAACAGGAUAUAACAGUAAGCACAAGGACGGAGGUAUAUGAGCACACGUUUAAAGCAUACACCUCUACUGCAAUAUGCAUAAAAUGAUCUAUAAGUUAAAACCUGGACAUGUGGCGACCCAGCAAAAAUAUAGUAGACUGUGACAACAAUGAUAUUGGCACAUAGAUAGAUACACACACACACACACACACACACAUAUACAUACAUAUAUAUGUAUGUGUAUGCACAAAAAUGUAAUAAUCAGUGAUCAGUAAUGUUUUUAGAGAAAUUAAUACUUUUUUAAUUUUAUUAAUACUUUUAAUGCUUUUUAUUCACCAAGGACACAUUAAAUUGAUCAAACGUAAAAACACUUAC